AGCUCGUGUCGUGAGAUGUGGUUAGUCCGCAACGAGCGCAACCCCUAUUGUUAGUUGCCAUCAUUCAGUUGGGCACUCUAGCGAGACUGCCGGUAAUAAACCGGAGGAAGGUGGGGAUGACGUCAAAUCAUCAUGCCCCUUAUGACCUGGGCUACACACGUGCUACAAUGGUUGGUACAACGAGUUGCGAGUCGGUGACGGCGAGCUAAUCUCUUAAAGCCAAUCUCAGUUCGGAUUGUAGGCUGCAACUCGCCUACAUGAAGUCGGAAUCGCUAGUAAUCGCGGAUCAGCACGCCGCGGUGAAUACGUUCCCGGGCCUU
Molecule: ribosomal RNA, 320 nt
Filed under: uncultured Streptococcus sp.
Lineage: Bacteria; Bacillati; Bacillota; Bacilli; Lactobacillales; Streptococcaceae
Description: bacterial SSU rRNA
Rfam family: Bacterial small subunit ribosomal RNA
Source: RNAcentral